This is a non-coding RNA of Pelobates cultripes (western spadefoot toad), 1278 nucleotides long. The record is from the annotation of a GenBank genome assembly. Lineage: Eukaryota; Metazoa; Chordata; Amphibia; Anura; Pelobatidae.
UGCAGCUUCAGCACACAUUCUAUUAUUAUUAUUAUUAUGAUAUUUAUAGAGCGCCGUCAAAUUCUGCAGCACUUUACAAUGGGUGGACAAACAGACAUGUAGUUGUAACCAGACAAGUUGGACACACAGGAACAGAGGGGUUGAGGGCCCUACUCAAUAAGCUUACAUGCUAGAGGGAGUGGGGUAAAAUGACACAAAAAGGUAAGGAUAGUGUUAGACUAGUGACAGUUGCAGAAGAGGAAUCAGUCAGGAGCUAUUACAGUUUAAUUGAUACGCUUUUAUGAAGAAGUAGGUUUUUAACGAUUUUUUUAAAGGAGUGGAGACUGGGUGAGCAUCUAACGGAGGAGGGAAGCGAGUUCCACAGGAACGGUGCAGCCCUCGCGAAAUCUUGAAGGCGAGCAUCAGAGGUGGGAGUACGGCAGAAGAUAAACGUAAGUCUUCAGCAGAUCGUAAGGGCCUAGACGGGACAUACUUGUGUAUAAGGGAGGAUAGAUAGGUGGGAGCAGCAUUAUGUAGAGAUUUGAAAGCAAGAACCAGAAUUUUAAAUUGAGAUCUAUAUUUUAUAGGAAGCCAAUGUAGGGACUGACAGAAGGGUGAGGCAUGGGAGGUGCAGGCGGACAGGAAGAUGAGCCUCGCCGCCACAUUCAUUAUGGACUGUAACGGCGCAAGUUGGGAGCACGUAAGACCACUGAGAUCGGUGCUGGGCAGCCAUCAAAGCACAGCCCUAUUCAUGGGCAGAGAGGCAUGCAGAGAUACCUGCCGAGGAUUUUUUCAAACCCUCAUCAAGGACAGAGUCCCUGAGUGAUUUGACACAUAUUGGCCCUCCUCAACUGCAUUGCAAAUGCAGAAUUUACAGUUCCAUUCUAUCAGUGUCUGUUUCCUCCAAACCAUGGCAAUGAUCUGUCCUGGCAGUCUAUAGGUGUUGCUUUGGUUAUGUUACUCACAGUGUUUCUUUAAAGGGACACUAUAGUCACCAAAACAACAACAAUUAGUUUUUUUUAAUUAGAUUUAAGCAGGGCCGGCGCUACCUGUAAGGCGGACUAGGCAGCCGCCUAGGGCGCCCCUUCGGAGGGUGCGCCGCCAGGAGCGCCGGCCCCGCUCAUACUGCAGCCGCCCAAGCGCUCUGCAGAGAGCCUCAGGCGGCUGCAGCUUUGCCCAGGCGGUUUGUCCAUGAGGGCGGAACCGCACCGCCUGGGCGCAGCAUGGGGAGAGGGGCUGACAGGAGGGAAGCGCUCAGGUCUCCCUCCUGUCACUCCCUCCCUGUAGCAUGGCCGGGCC